AAUGUAAAAAACCCCAACAAGAAUUACAACCCAGUAUAAACCCCAACUUGUUUUUUUUUUUUUUUCCUUUUUCUUAUCCUAAACAGCAAACCCAACAGCAAAGAAACUACAGUUGACUGUUGACUCUUGAUCAGAUGUUUCGUAUGAACCCACAAAUAAAAAUGGUGGGUGAUCUAAAAAGGUGAAUUUUCUUUUGUUUUGUUUUUCUUCUUCUGUUUCUUUUUUUUUUUUCGGGGUUCAGGGUAAUUAAUGUAAGAAAUUAAGGGAAAGAAAACGCUCCAGGAAUCAGAAAAUAAUAUCCAAGGAGUAGAACUUUCCAAGAUUCAAAUCUGAUAGUAUCUACACCCAAAAUCUAUCACCAUAAAACAACAAGAUUUUGCAGCAGCAACAACAAAUUAAGUUUCUUUUUCUUUAGAUAACAGUUAGAAGAAAAAAAAAUUAGAAACGAAAAGGCACUAAAAUUUAACCGAUCCCAGAUUCAUCAAGAAUGCAUCCGCAGAUCGACAGAAGCAUAUCAAGAAUCAAGAAAAGUGUAAAUGAAGUGAAAGAAAGAUUUAAAUAAGAGGCAAAAUGAGAAUGAAAAGAAGGAAGAGAAUAAUAAGUACGGAGAAGUUUAUGGAAUUUGCACGCAUCUCUAUGGUUUCUUUUCUCUUCUUCUCUACUUCUCUUUCUUCUAAUGCUACUAACACCAUCUUUUCUGGUUUCUUCACUUUCAUCUCUUUAAUCUCUAUUCUUUAUCUUUCUCUUUCUCUUUCUCUUUCUCUCUCUAUUUUCUUUUUAUUUUUCCUCAAAUAAAAGCAAAGCACUCACUCUCUCUCUCUCUCUCUCUCUCUCCUUUUGUUUAAAUAGAAUUUCAUGAUCUUGAAUUCUCUUUCUCUUUCAUUCUCUACACUUCCUUUCUUGCCAUUUGGAUUAGGGUUUUUAUGUUCUCUCUCUUCUUUUUAUUGGUUGCUUUUUGAACUCUUAUUAUUUGUGCAAGUAUUCUCUGUUCAUUGGUCAGCCAUUAAUACAAUAUAGAUGCUUAAUUCCUCUUUUUCUUUUCUUUUUCAAUUUUCUUUUUUGGAUUAGGCUGCGCAGUGAAUGAUAGUAAUUUAUUAAUCAAAUAGCAAUGCUCAUUC
This 1118-nucleotide long non-coding RNA is filed under the name Ricinus communis (castor bean). Its description in RNAcentral is "long non-coding RNA (RCOM_LNC001961)". The record is from RNAcentral. Lineage: Eukaryota; Viridiplantae; Streptophyta; Magnoliopsida; Malpighiales; Euphorbiaceae.